RNAcentral lists this ribosomal RNA (1407 nucleotides) under Nostoc sp. 'Mollenhauer 1:1-115'. RNAcentral describes it as "bacterial SSU rRNA". It matches the Rfam family "Bacterial small subunit ribosomal RNA". Lineage: Bacteria; Bacillati; Cyanobacteriota; Cyanophyceae; Nostocales; Nostocaceae. The record is from RNAcentral.
UGCUUAACACAUGCAAGUCGAACGGUGUCUUCGGACACAGUGGCGGACGGGUGAGUAACGCGUGAGAAUCUGGCUCUAGGUCUGGGACAACCACUGGAAACGGUGGCUAAUACCGGAUGUGCCGAGAGGUGAAAGGUUAACUGCCUAGAGAUGAGCUCGCGUCUGAUUAGCUAGUAGGUAGUGUAAUGGACUACCUAGGCGACGAUCAGUAGCUGGUCUGAGAGGACGAUCAGCCACACUGGGACUGAGACACGGCCCAGACUCCUACGGGAGGCAGCAGUGGGGAAUUUUCCGCAAUGGGCGAAAGCCUGACGGAGCAAUACCGCGUGAGGGAGGAAGGCUCUUGGGUCGUAAACCUCUUUUCUCAGGGAAGAACACAAUGACGGUACCUGAGGAAUAAGCAUCGGCUAACUCCGUGCCAGCAGCCGCGGUAAUACGGAGGAUGCAAGCGUUAUCCGGAAUGAUUGGGCGUAAAGCGUCCGCAGGUGGCAAUGUAAGUCUGCUGUUAAAGAGUCUAGCUCAACUAGAUACAAGCAGUGGAAACUACAUAGCUAGAGUACGUUCGGGGCAGAGGGAAUUCCUGGUGUAGCGGUGAAAUGCGUAGAGAUCAGGAAGAACACCGGUGGCGAAGGCGCUCUGCUAGGCCGUAACUGACACUGAGGGACGAAAGCUAGGGGAGCGAAUGGGAUUAGAUACCCCAGUAGUCCUAGCCGUAAACGAUGGAUACUAGGCGUGGCUUGUAUCGACCCGAGCCGUGCCGUAGCUAACGCGUUAAGUAUCCCGCCUGGGGAGUACGCCGGCAACGGUGAAACUCAAAGGAAUUGACGGGGGCCCGCACAAGCGGUGGAGUAUGUGGUUUAAUUCGAUGCAACGCGAAGAACCUUACCAAGGCUUGACAUGUCGCGAAUCUUGAUGAAAGUUGAGAGUGCCUUCGGGAGCGCGAACACAGGUGGUGCAUGGCUGUCGUCAGCUCGUGUCGUGAGAUGUUGGGUUAAGUCCCGCAACGAGCGCAACCCUCGUUUUUAGUUGCCAGCAUUAAGUUGGGCACUCUAGAGAGACUGCCGGUGACAAACCGGAGGAAGGUGGGGAUGACGUCAAGUCAGCAUGCCCCUUACGCCUUGGGCUACACACGUACUACAAUGCUCCGGACAGAGGGCAGCAAGCAUGCGAAUGCAAGCAAAUCCCGUAAACCGGAGCUCAGUUCAGAUCGCAGGCUGCAACUCGCCUGCGUGAAGGAGGAAUCGCUAGUAAUUGCAGGUCAGCAUACUGCAGUGAAUUCGUUCCCGGGCCUUGUACACACCGCCCGUCACACCAUGGAAGCUGGUAGUGCCCGAAGUCAUUACUCCAACCUUUCGGGGAGGAGGAUGCCUAAGGCAGGACUGGUGACUGGGGUGAAGUCGUAACAAG